RNAcentral lists this ribosomal RNA (497 nucleotides) under uncultured bacterium. RNAcentral's name for it is "partial 16S ribosomal RNA". It matches the Rfam family "Bacterial small subunit ribosomal RNA", at positions 28 to 507 of the family's 1533-position model. The record is from RNAcentral.
GACGAACGCUGGCGGCGUGCCUAAUACAUGCAAGUAGAACGCUGAAGAGAGGAGCUUGCUCUUCUUGGAUGAGUUGCGAACGGGUGAGUAACGCGUAGGUAACCUGCCUUGUAGCGGGGGAUAACUAUUGGAGACGAUAGCUAAUACCGCAUAACAAUGGAUGACACAUGUCAUUUAUUUGAAAGGGGCAAUUGCUCCACUACAAGAUGGACCUGCGUUGUAUUAGCUAGUAGGUGAGGUAAUGGCUCACCUAGGCGACGAUACAUAGCCGACCUGAGAGGGUGAUCGGCCACACUGGGACUGAGACACGGCCCAGACUCCUACGGGAGGCAGCAGUAGGGAAUCUUCGGCAAUGGGGGCAACCCUGACCGAGCAACGCCGCGUGAGUGAAGAAGGUUUUCGGAUCGUAAAGCUCUGUUGUAAGUCAAGAACGGGUGUGAGAGUGGAAAGUUCACACUGUGACGGUAGCUUACCAGAAAGGGACGGCUAACUACGUG